GCCAAAACUGCAGUUUGCUUCCCAUCCAGACGCUGACGUAACAGCAAACUGCAACCAGGAGAAGUCUUUCUUUGGACAAAACAAAAACUUUUAGAGUUGCCUGUGAAAAGUCUUUAACCUUUAGUGUUUUUAGACUUUAAUAUUGUCUGCCAUGUCCUAGACUAACAUGUAAAAUGCUGUUUUUGCUUGUUCCCUUUAGAGUGCGUCAGUGUCCAUCAAACAUUUUGGGGAAGUGUUUUUUGGCAGAAAGAGGAACUUCAACAGUCUAUAGAGUCACAAAACAUUGUCAUCGAAAAAGAAUACAGACACUUUUAUCAAACUAUCCAAUCGCACCAUGGAAUCUCAACCGUUUUGGACCCUUUUCUUCAAGUUGACAUGGAUACCUGCAUUUUUCCUUCUCACUGUCUGUUCAGCAAUGGAUUCACCAAGUAUCAGUCUGGAGCGCGAAGUCUUUGUGGCCUUUAGAGGUGAAAAUCUCAACAUUACAUGCAAUUUGAUCAAAGCAGUAAACCAAACGGAAGAUGGCUGCUUGACAUGCUUUGAUCCAAAAAACAAAACAAUAUACAAUAAUACCAUCCCCACAAUGGAUACCGAACAGGAAAGAUUUUCCUGGCAUCUGGAGCUGAAAAACCUGAAGCUUUCAGGACUUUACUCCUGCCAGUAUCAAACGGUGAAGGUGGAUUGGUUUCUUCGAGUGACAGAUGAAGGCUACAAGGAACCUGUUAACACAGAGUUCAUCAUCAUGGCCAUUUUCACGGGUGUGCUGUUGAUCUUCAGUGUGCUCGGCUCGGUGUAUGUCUUCAGAGGACAUUGGACUGAGAAACAUGGAGCUGGCGAGAAAAAACUAAAGCAAAGCCAAGAAGAGAAGAAGGUGACAAAGAAGGAGGACGAUAGCUUGGAUGCAACAGCAGCUCAGUCCUACUAUGCCAGUCUAGAGCCUCGUCCCAGGUCUAUUUAUGAUGUACUGGACAGCUCACCUGCCAGAAGAGAGAAUGACCAAGACAAAGCCAAACCCAUGAAAAAGGAACCACCCAAAAAGGCAGCGCAAAAGACAAAAGACAAGGAUGAAGGUGUUUUUGAGUCUGUUUAUGAGAACUUUUAGAUCAACUCGUGAUUGUGGGAUCAUAAUCCAGCGCUUUUCUACUUUAAUCUCAUCUGUGUCAGCGACACUGAGAGAAUCAUCUUUCAAUAAAAUCAACAAAAACCACAAAUGCAAAGUAAAAGUAGUUUGGUACAACACAAAGAUUUCUAAAAGUGUGUAAAAAAUGUAAAUGAACAGAAGCAUUCCCAUCAGAAUGAGCACAGUGUAUCAAAAGUACUAAAGGUUUUCACUAAAUACUACGACUGUACUAUGUAAAAGUCUUUAGCUACACCUCAUUUCUUUAGAUUUUGUGCACCAAUUUAUUCAAACAGCCAAGGCAAAAAGAGAGUUUGAACAGUUCUAAUGAGCUUAAAAGUCAGUAUUCAGUAUGAGCACCUAUAUUUUCCACCAAAGCCUGAAAUUUCUUGCUCAACUUUCUUGUCAUUUCUUUAAGUAGUCUUUAGGAAUAGUUCUCCAGGCAUCUUGAUGGAUGUUCAAUGCUCUUCUUUGGAUGUUGACUGGGUUUGCUCUAUUAUCUGUUGAAAUGAUUCCACACCGCUUCAAUAAUGUUGGUGUGGGAAUAAAGUCUGGUCUCUGGGGAGAUCAAUUCCAUAACUGACAGUGUGUGUGCGUGUGUGUGUGUGUGUUGUUGUUGUUUUUUUUAAAUAUUAUUAUUGCUGGUUUUCCUUUAGUUCAGUUAGUUUGGGAUCACUUUCAUGCUCAAAAAUGGAGUAGCUAACAAUCAGAUGCCAAAUGGUUUUGCGUGAAAGAUCAAAAUCCUGUGUUUAUAGUUUCAUUCAUUUUUGACCCCCAGUUGAAUGGCAGCCCCAAACCAUGACAGAGCCUCUGCCGUGUUAUACACAUGGCUGCACAUACUCUCUGUUGUACUUCUCUCCUAAGCUCCUCCGUACUGAUGAUGAUUUAAACCAAAAAUUUCCAAUUUGGAUUCAUCACUCUAUAAGACCUGUGGCCACUGAUUUUCAGUCCAGUUCUUGUUUAAUUUUGCACACCAGAGCCUUUUCUCCCCUUUUCCAUUCAUUAACAAUGCUGUUUAACAGCCACCUUCCACUGAAACCAUUUCUGAUGAGGCUUCAGUGAACAGUACAUGGAUCAACUGAAGGGUCAGAUGUAUCUCCACUUUUUUUCCAAGUGGAGUCUAGUGUUUGAUGUCUUCUUCUCACCUUAGAAACUGUGGGUAACAGGUAGCUGAUUUUCAAUAAAUGUGUCUCUUGUCACCUGCUUCUGUCCGG
Long non-coding RNA from Astatotilapia calliptera (eastern happy), 2331 nucleotides. The record is from Ensembl. Lineage: Eukaryota; Metazoa; Chordata; Actinopteri; Cichliformes; Cichlidae.